GAUGAACGCUGGCGGCGUGCCUAAUACAUGCAAGUCGAGCGAACAGACGAGGAGCUUGCUCCUCUGACGUUAGCGGCGGACGGGUGAGUAACACGUGGAUAACCUACCUAUAAGACUGGGAUAACUUCGGGAAACCGGAGCUAAUACCGGAUAAUAUAUUGAACCGCAUGGUUCAAUAGUGAAAGACGGUUUUGCUGUCACUUAUAGAUGGAUCCGCGCCGCAUUAGCUAGUUGGUAAGGUAACGGCUUACCAAGGCAACGAUGCGUAGCCGACCUGAGAGGGUGAGCGGCCACACUGGAACUGAGACACGGUCCAGACUCCUACGGGGGGCAGCAGUAGGGAAUCUUCCGCAAUGGGCGAAAGCCUGACGGAGCAACGCCGCGUGAGUGAUGAAGGUCUGCGGAUCGUAAAACUCUGUUAUUAGGGAAAAAAAAAUGUGUAAGUAACUAUGCACGUCUUGACGGUACCUAAUCAGAAAGCCACGGCUAACUACG
Molecule: ribosomal RNA, 495 nt
Filed under: uncultured bacterium
Lineage: Bacteria
Description: partial 16S ribosomal RNA
Rfam family: Bacterial small subunit ribosomal RNA
Source: RNAcentral